This 225-nucleotide long non-coding RNA is filed under the name Prunus dulcis (almond). RNAcentral's name for it is "sRNA ncRNA". The record is from RNAcentral. Lineage: Eukaryota; Viridiplantae; Streptophyta; Magnoliopsida; Rosales; Rosaceae.
AUGUCCUCAACUGGAUCUGGCUCCUUUUGGACUGCCAAGCAAAACAAAGAUUUUGAAAACACUUUGGCUAUGUUUGACAAGGACACUUCCAACCGCUAGAAUAAUGUUGCCAAGGCAGUUGGCGAAAAAACUGAGAGGAAGUCCAGAAGCAUUAUGAGCUUCUUGUUGAAGAUAUCAUGCUUAUUGAGCCUGGACAAGUGCCCACCCCAAAUUAUAGAAAGAAAU